RNAcentral lists this long non-coding RNA (591 nucleotides) under Mus pahari (shrew mouse). RNAcentral describes it as "lncRNA (MGP_PahariEiJ_G0003450.1)". Lineage: Eukaryota; Metazoa; Chordata; Mammalia; Rodentia; Muridae. The record is from RNAcentral.
UCUCAAAGCAGACAAAAACUGUCCGGCAGGCCCGAAAGACACCUAACUAUUCACAGAUGGCCCUGGAGGUUGCUCUCAGGAGACAGGAACUAGACACAGUGUUUACAAAAAUCCCUGAGCCUAAAUGUACAGAAAAUGGGGCAGCAGUGACAGAGUUAAAAACAAAACAAAACCAAAAGACUAAGACAACACAGGACUCAGAAAUGUGGCUGACCACCUGACCAGAGCGGGGAGACCAGACUCUGGAAUGACAGGCUACCUCUCUUUCCUUCCCACCCUCUCCAAACCUGCUGCUGCAGAACAAAGACAGAUCUUUGUAAUAUUUUGGGUCCUGAUCUCCCCCCACACCCUGUGAGCAACAGUCAAACUACAUUAGAGGCCACUCUGAAGACUAACUGAUCAGGGACAGUUGCAUUCUGAGAUCCUGGAGGUUAAUUCUUCAACAUUAUAGAGGGACAUAGUCUUUAAUGCUCACAUUGCUAAUUUUAAUAUUUAAGGCUUACUUGGAAAUAAUCAUAUCCCUUCACAUAUUCAUCUGCUGUCAUCUCUGUAGAUAAAAAGCUAAGAGAAAAAUACACAAUUUCCUAAUGA